This is a long non-coding RNA of Armigeres subalbatus, 585 nucleotides long. RefSeq lists it as uncharacterized. The transcript has 3 exons. The record is from RefSeq and is a predicted model, not a curated record. Lineage: Eukaryota; Metazoa; Arthropoda; Insecta; Diptera; Culicidae.
GUCAAACGCGUUCCUUAUUUUCUCCCACGAAACCCACACUCAAUUAUAUAACGGGACGUUUAGUUAGUUGAAAACCUUUUUUCUACAAAUUCAUUAGUGGCGACGAGGAUAAAUUCGGUUUUGGUGCGGCAGCUGUACGAAUAGCUGAUUUUUUUUUCGGUUUUGUUUUUCGAACCGUCGGAGACACAAUUCGCCCCAGUUGGCCGGAAGAUAAAGUGAAAAAAAAGAUUUCUACUAUCUGCAUAGUGGGAGAUUUGUGCGGCAAAACUUGGAAUAAAUUAACGGAUCCGCUUUUCAGUUUCAUUGGAAAUUCGGUUGUUUCGUGGUGAGAUUGACGAAUUCAUCGGAUCAUGGUUGGAAACGAGGCGACAACCACCGUCCAUCCCACUCAAAUCAGAGUCGCUAAGGAUGGACGCGGCACAUCGGGCGUGCCAAGGCGAGCGAUGCGUGUUGUCGAGGAUGGUUGGCCGCUACCGACUGACGACGACACUCCUGGUUCUUGUCGGCCGCUUCCGACUACCGUGGAACCCGCGAUGGCACCCGUACCCAUGAUCGAGAACGAUAUCUGGCAGUUACCAGAUCGGA